RNAcentral lists this long non-coding RNA (1306 nucleotides) under Panax ginseng (ginseng). RNAcentral describes it as "long non-coding RNA (PGIN_LNC005602)". Lineage: Eukaryota; Viridiplantae; Streptophyta; Magnoliopsida; Apiales; Araliaceae. The record is from RNAcentral.
GGUUUUAUAGAAUUUUUCAACUUAGCUUUUUGGUCAUUUUUCCACCUACUUACCUCCUAAAAUAUAUGAUCUGUGACUAUGAUGGUGCUUGGGAGUUUGGAAGCAUGUCAUGUGAUGUCUUAAAACUUGUGUGGAUGACUCCCAACCUACUUGUGAGCUAGUUGACCAAAUUUGUAGCUUAAUUUUGCCCUAAUCCUCGUUAAUUUUGAUUAGGGUUUUGGUUUUUAUGAUUAGGGUUACUUAAUGAUUUUUAUUAGUACCUAAUUGAAGUUUAGUAAUCAUGAUUAGGUGUUAGGAUAACCUAAUUAGGAUUUAGUCUAGCUAAUUAGGGUUAGGGUUUACAAAUUAGGUUUACGAUUUGUAAUCUAGGGUUAGGGUUUGUAAUCUAGGGUUCCUAACUUAGAUUUUUUCACAAAUCCUAACAAGCACGACAAAGCAUUUUGUCAGUGUAACCAUGACAAAGCAGCUUGUCAAAACAAAUAUACCGAAAAGUCUGUUUUUGGAUGAAAAAUUUUAAGCACGAGGUGUCAAGCACGUCAAUUUUCGGACAAAAAAUUAUUUGACCUAAUUUGUUAAAUAGAGUAUAUAUUAAAACAAAACACUUUCAGAAUGCAGAGAUUUUAUUAAUAUAACUGAAUUUACGUAUCCGAGUCUUAUUAGGGUUUUUGGGUUUCUACACUCAAGCCCCAACCUUCGAUCGAAUCACACAUCCCAACCCCAAGUGAAUCAAGUUAGGGUUCUUCACUAAAGGUAAUUGGGAUUUCAUUCCAUAAGAAACGGAUUUUGAUUAAGUUAUGUUUUGUUGGGCAUUCCUUGGCAUCCUACUUGGGCAAUCAUCUGGCUGCAAUCUGGGUCUUCCAAUUGGUCAUUGGUUGGGGCUUGCUCCUGCUUAGCUUGAUGGUACGCAUCAGUUGGGCUGAACUUGGUUUUGGCUUCCCUGUCUCCCCUUUUGGUUUCUUUGGUUUUGACUGGCUUGGACUUUGUUGUGGUAUUGAAAAUUUGACUAUAGCUCCUAAGCGUCAAAGACUUAGUAUGGGCGGUUCUUCCACUUCUUCGGCAAAAAAAUGGUACAAUGCCAAGUUCAUCAGCGAAGAGGCUUGGAAUAGGUACAAGCAUUCUUUCGCCAAAAGGAACUUAGUGCAUGAGCGAGGUUUUUGACCUGAUCAAUCGAAAGAUGGCGAGAUGAUGGCCAUGAUUAUUGAACGCAAAUGGGUGCACUUUACAAAAUCUCCUGUGUCGGUUGUUGUCUUUGUGGUCCGUGAGUUUUAUGCAAAUGCUAGUGCCGACGGUCCAGCCGUUAUUCAAG